Molecule: long non-coding RNA, 588 nt
Filed under: Anneissia japonica
Lineage: Eukaryota; Metazoa; Echinodermata; Crinoidea; Comatulida; Comatulidae
Description: uncharacterized LOC117102337, transcript variant X1
Source: RNAcentral
CUUGGCGCUGAGAAAAAAAAUCAUAGUAUACAAAAUAUUAAAACGACAACGACGACGUCGACAACAAUGAAGAUGGUGAUGAUUUCUAUGAGCGGACUGGCACAGCGGUUGCGGUUCUGUUUCUCAACCUUGAGAUUCUGGACACACCAUGUCAUUCAGACGGAUAACGUUAACUCAGCGUCCAUGCGCAGUAGAUUGGAACAAUAGUAAAAAACCAAACAACAUGGAAACACGGCAAUCAUUGACAGCACAAAACAACCGAGUUAUAAUAUAUUCAGCAGAGCAAGGAAUCAGAUCAGCUGUUGACACUCAUGAAUCAAGGGAUUACUUUUCUUUAGUGAUUAUAUAACAUUCAGUUCUUUCUUAAAGAGUUUUAAUGAAUAAUAUGUACCGGUACGUAUAUUUAGUGGCAACUGUCCUGAACACUUCUGAGUUUAAAAAAUGUGCUCCAUGGUUGAAACCAAGACACAGCAGAGUAUUAGUUAAUAAUUUGUAGGCGGUUAUUUCAAGUUUGUGAAUGGUUUACUCUUUUCUAUUGUUUAACCUGAUAUUAGAAAGUAAUGGAGAGUCCAAUGUAUAUAAAACGCA